Molecule: small nucleolar RNA, 70 nt
Organism: Lineus longissimus
Lineage: Eukaryota; Metazoa; Nemertea; Pilidiophora; Heteronemertea; Lineidae
Product: small nucleolar RNA R38
Exons: 1
Source: RefSeq, a predicted model, not a curated record
CGAAGUCAAUGAUGAUGUUUGUUAUCCCUGUCUUAACUCUCAUGUGGACAUCAUUCAGACUGAGACUUCA